Molecule: long non-coding RNA, 400 nt
Filed under: Homo sapiens (human)
Lineage: Eukaryota; Metazoa; Chordata; Mammalia; Primates; Hominidae
Description: HSALNT0357168
Source: RNAcentral
CUGGGAUCAAGAAUAAUCUCAUCUGGGGUGGCCAGCCACUCUGGACUCACGGUUUCCAGGGUCUUCUGAGUAUAUACAACCAUCCUCCAGACUGCAAAAAACACGAUAUUUACUCUGACAAAGCCACAAGAGCCCCAGGUUUAUGUCCAUGAAAGAUCAGACAGAAUCCAGAGCAGCGACUCAUCAGUGGUGACUGACAACCUGAUGUGCAACUAAUGUAUGCAGAGUCUUGCUAUGUUGCCCAGACUGAUCUUGGACCCCUGAUCUCAAGCGAUCCUCCCACCUUGGCCUUCCAAAGUGCUGGUAUUAUAGGCAUGAGCCACUACACUUGGACCCAAACAGGUAUCUGUUAAACUGGCUUUACCUUCAUUCACCUUUUGAGCCUGAGAGUGAAAGGAGA